UAGCUCCAGCAGCACAUAUUCUAAAAUUUGGAAUGACACAGAUAAGAUUAGCAUGAACACUGGGCAAAGAUGACACACAAAUUCAUGAAACAUUCCAUAUUAGC
Molecule: small nuclear RNA, 104 nt
Organism: Sarcophilus harrisii (Tasmanian devil)
Lineage: Eukaryota; Metazoa; Chordata; Mammalia; Dasyuromorphia; Dasyuridae
Source: Ensembl